Long non-coding RNA from Alexandromys fortis (reed vole), 1178 nucleotides. RefSeq lists it as uncharacterized. NCBI's taxonomy places the organism in Eukaryota, Metazoa, Chordata, Mammalia, Rodentia, Cricetidae. The transcript is spliced from 3 exons. The record is from RefSeq and is a predicted model, not a curated record.
UAAUUAUGAAACAAUGUAGAUGAGCGAGAUAGAAGAUGCUAAUAACAGACUGUGUGUUGUGAAAGGUCUGUGAACCCUAUUCUGCCUGAUGCACAGUCAAUAAAGGCUCAUCAACAGUCGGUCCUAGGUUAUCAGCCAGAACUUCAUCCUGAGCCAGUCCCAUGAAGGUUGGAGAACAUGAUUUCAUCCUUUAGCUCGACUCAGAAGCACUUGGGAGGCAGAGGCAGGUGGACCUAUGUGAGUUUGAGGCCAGCCUGGUCUACAAAGUGAGUUCCAAAGCCAGUCAGGGCAGUUACACAGAGAAGUCCUGUUUUUGAACAAACAAACAAACAAAUGUCCACAGCAAAGUUCCACAUUAUAUAUUCACCACUGACCUGACUCAGUUUUCUGAGGAAGCAUCACUGUGUAUGUGGGUCACAUUCUCUAUUCUUCUGUGGCUGGAUCUCCAGGCUGGUUUCAUUUUCAUCUCCUGUGAGCAGCGCAGCUGUAAAAAUGGAUGAGCAAGCAUUUCUGUGCCAUGAUGAUUCAAGGAGUCACUGGUAAAGCUGGUCAUGUGACAGUUUUCAGAAUCCAUGUGUUAAGCUGAAACCUCCUUCCCCUCCUAGAGAAAUACAUUCAAAAGAAAAAUGCUCAGAUGUUAACAGCCUAGUGAUCUAACAGAAGAGUGUUUCUGUGACAACCGUAAUCUCAAGUAAGUGGGGAGCAACUCAUGCCUUUCGAAUUAUUUCAUGUAAAUAAAUUCACAAAUCAGGAAAGUAAUUCGUUGUUCUGGCUUGGAUGUUAUCCCGGAGACUUCCUCCUUCUCCAAGCUCAGCCUUCCACACACAUUCCACUUUGGUUACAGACUGCCCCUCAGAGUGUUAGUCUCCUUCAUGGGAACUUGGCUACUAUAGCUUAACUCUAUUAAUAAGGCAGUCAGUGUUAUAAUUUAAAAAUGGCGGGAGAGAGAGAGACCCAUGCCAGGCUAUAGAGCUCACGUGGAGAGUUUAUUGGGGGAGAGGGAGGUAGAGACGCAGAGUGUGGCCUCUGGAGACAAGAGUUGAGGAGAGAAGAGAGAGGGGAGGCAGGAGGCCAAGCUGACCUUUUAUGAAGGGACUUAGCACAUGUGUCCAGGGACUCUACUUAAACAUAGCAGAUGACAUUGUUGGGACUCUGAGCAGGCCAGUGUAACUGUCUGA